GAAUGCGUAGAUAUCGGGAGGAACACCAGUGGCGAAGGCGACUCUCUAGUUCACACCUGACGCUGAGGUGCGAAAGCGUGGGUAGCGAACGGGAUUAGAUACCCCGGUAGUCCACGCCGUAAACGAUGGAUACUAGGUGUAGGAGGUCAUUGAAUCCUUCUGUGCCGUAGCUAACGCGUUAAGUAUCCCGCCUGGGGACUACGGCCGCAAGGUUAAGACUCAAAGGAAUUGACGGGGGCCCGCACAAGCAGCGGAGCGUGUGGUUUAAUUCGAUGAUACGCGAAGAACCUUACCUGGGCUGGACAUGGUGGUAGUAGAGAAGCGAAAGCGGAUCGACCCUUCGGGGAGCCAUGACAGGUGCUGCAUGGCUGUCGUCAGCUCGUGUCGUGAGAUGUUGGGUUAAGUCCCGCAACGAGCGCAACCCUCGUCGUUAGUUAUACGUGUCUAGUGAGACUGCCGGUAUCAAACCGGCGCGAAGGUGGGGAUGACGUCAAGUCAGCAUGGUCUUUAUGUCCAGGGCUACACACACGCUACAAUGGCCGGUACAACGGGUUGCCAUACCGCGAGGUGGAGCUAAUCCUCAAAGCCGGUCUCAGUUCGGAUUGCAGUCUGCAACUCGACUGCAUGAAGGUGGAGUUGCUAGUAACCGCGCGUCAGCAAUCGUGCGGUGAUGCGUUCCCGGGCCUUGUACACACCGCCCGUCACAUCAUGGGAGUCGGCA
RNAcentral lists this ribosomal RNA (721 nucleotides) under uncultured organism. Its description in RNAcentral is "bacterial SSU rRNA". It matches the Rfam family "Bacterial small subunit ribosomal RNA", at positions 684 to 1416 of the family's 1533-position model. The record is from RNAcentral.